This is a long non-coding RNA of Pipra filicauda (Wire-tailed manakin), 455 nucleotides long. RefSeq lists it as uncharacterized. NCBI's taxonomy places the organism in Eukaryota, Metazoa, Chordata, Aves, Passeriformes, Pipridae. The record is from RefSeq and is a predicted model, not a curated record. The transcript is spliced from 3 exons.
CAGGGACUCGGAAAACAAGCUGAGAGUGCCCAAGGCUUGGAGGAAAUCUUGGGCUCCACCUUACAGUGUGCUGCUGCAGUGCUCUGACAGCUCAAAGAAGCCUUUUGGUCCUAUGUCACACCCCUGGGAGCUUCCCUGUGCACAUCCGUGAGCCACAGAGGUCAGGCCGUAAUGGGCGUAAAGAAAGACAGACGGACAGAAAAGCAAGUUCAAAGAGAAGGAAAUCUCUUUUCUGUUUCAAGCCCCUGAAAGUCCUGAAGAGGAGAGAGGAGGCGACAGGCAAACAGUGCUCAUAUUAUCAGUUCACACACUUUAACCUGGCGCUGCCAAGCCCACCAUAUCCCCAGGUGCCUCAUCUACAUGUCUUUUAAAUGCCUCCAGGGAAGGCGACCCUACCAGUGCCCUCUCCAGCCUGUUCUUGAAACUCAAUCAAAAUAAAUUAAAAAGAAAAAGUU